Molecule: small nuclear RNA, 106 nt
Organism: Bison bison bison
Lineage: Eukaryota; Metazoa; Chordata; Mammalia; Artiodactyla; Bovidae
Source: Ensembl
GUGCUCACUUUGGCAGCACAUAUACUUAAAUUGGAAUGAUACAAAGAAGAUUAGCAUGGCCCUGCUCAAGGAUGACAUGCAAAUUGGUGAAGCAGUUCAUGUUUUU